This 475-nucleotide ribosomal RNA is filed under the name uncultured Planctomycetales bacterium. RNAcentral describes it as "bacterial SSU rRNA". It matches the Rfam family "Bacterial small subunit ribosomal RNA", at positions 365 to 830 of the family's 1533-position model. The record is from RNAcentral. Lineage: Bacteria; Pseudomonadati; Planctomycetota; Planctomycetia; Planctomycetales.
UUCGCAAUGCCCGAAAGGGUGACGAAGCGACGCCGCGUGCGGGAAGAAGGCCUUCGGGUUGUAAACCGCUGUCGGGAGUUAAGAAAUGUAAGGAUGUUAAUAGCGUCUUUGCUUGACUAAGGCUCCGGAGGAAGCCACGGCUAACUCUGUGCCAGCAGCCGCGGUAAUACAGAGGCGGCAAGCGUUGUUCGGAAUUAUUGGGCGUAAAGAGCACGUAGGCGGCUAUGUAAGUCGGUUGUGAAAGCCUUCCGCUCAACGGGAGAACAGCAUCCGAUACUGCAUGGCUUGAGUGCGGGAGGGGAGAGUGGAACUUCUGGUGGAGCGGUGAAAUGCGUAGAUAUCAGAAGGAACGCCGGCGGCGAAAGCGGCUCUCUGGCCCAUAACUGACGCUGAGUGUGCGAAAGCUAGGGGAGCAAACGGGAUUAGAUACCCCGGUAGUCCUAGCCGUAAACGAUGGGCACUAAGUAGAGGGGUU